GACGAACGCUGGCGGCGUGCUUAACACAUGCAAGUCGAACGGAAAGGCCCUGCUUGCAGGGUACUCGAGUGGCGAACGGGUGAGUAACACGUGGGUGAUCUGCCCUGCACUUCGGGAUAAGCUUGGGAAACUGGGUCUAAUACCGGAUAGGAGCCAUCUUUAGUGUGGUGGUUGGAAAGUUUUUUCGGUGUAGGAUGAGCUCGCGGCCUAUCAGCUUGUUGGUGGGGUAAUGGCCUACCAAGGCGGCGACGGGUAGCCGGCCUGAGAGGGUGUACGGCCACAUUGGGACUGAGAUACGGCCCAGACGCCUACGGGAGGCAGCAGUGGGGAAUAUUGCACAAUGGGCGCAAGCCUGAUGCAGCGACGCCGCGUGGGGGAUGAAGGCCUUCGGGUUGUAAACUCCUUUCGCUAGGGACGAAGCUUUUUGUGACGGUACCUAGAGAAGAAGCACCGGCUAACUACGUG
Molecule: ribosomal RNA, 465 nt
Filed under: uncultured bacterium
Lineage: Bacteria
Description: partial 16S ribosomal RNA
Rfam family: Bacterial small subunit ribosomal RNA
Source: RNAcentral